CCUACGGGAGACUGCAGUAGGGAAUCUUCCACAAUGGGCGAAAGCCUGAUGGAGCAACGCCGCGUGGGUGAAGAAGGUCUUCGGAUCGUAAAACCCUGUUGUUAGAGAAGAAAGUGCGUGAGAGUAACUGUUCACGUUUCGACGGUAUCUAACCAGAAAGCCACGGCUAACUACGUGCCAGCAGCCGCGGUAAUACGUAGGUGGCAAGCGUUAUCCGGAUUUAUUGGGCGUAAAGGGAACGCAGGCGGUCUUUUAAGUCUGAUGUGAAAGCCUUCGGCUUAACCGGAGUAGUGCAUUGGAAACUGGGAGACUGGAGUGCAGAAGAGGAGAGUGGAACUCCAUGUGUAGCGGUGAAAUGCGUAGAUAUAUGGAAGAACACCAGUGGCGAAAGCGGCUCUCUGGUCUGUAACUGACGCUGAGGUUCGAAAGCGUGGGUAGCAAACAGGAUUAGAUACCCCAGUAGUC
This 465-nucleotide ribosomal RNA is filed under the name uncultured bacterium. RNAcentral's name for it is "partial 16S ribosomal RNA". It matches the Rfam family "Bacterial small subunit ribosomal RNA", at positions 338 to 795 of the family's 1533-position model. The record is from RNAcentral.